Molecule: ribosomal RNA, 497 nt
Filed under: uncultured bacterium
Lineage: Bacteria
Description: bacterial SSU rRNA
Rfam family: Bacterial small subunit ribosomal RNA
Source: RNAcentral
AAAGGAAUAGACGGGGACCCGCACAAGCGGUGGAGCAUGUGGUUUAAUUCGAAGAUACGCGAAGAACCUUACCUGGGCUUGACAUCCUAAAAACAUCUAAGAGAUUAGAAAGUGCUAGUUCGCUAGAAUUUAGUGACAGGUGCUGCACGGCUGUCGUCAGCUCGUGUCGUGAGAUGUUGGGUUAAGUCCCGCAACGAGCGCAACCCACGUGUUUAGUUGCUAACAGUUAGGCUGAGCACUCUAAACAGACUGCCUUCGCAAGGAGGAGGAAGGUGUGGACGACGUCAAGUCAUCAUGGCCCUUAUGUCCAGGGCGACACACGUGCUACAAUGACAUAUACAGUGAGAUGCAAUAUCGCGAGAUGGAGCAAAUCUAUAAAAUAUGUCCCAGUUCGGAUUGGAGUCUGCAACUCGACUCCAUGAAGCCGGAAUCGCUAGUAAUCGUAGAUCAGCCAUGCUACGGUGAAUACGUUCCCGGGUCUUGUACACACCGCCCGU